This 50-nucleotide ribosomal RNA is filed under the name Pseudocercospora eumusae. Its description in RNAcentral is "partial 18S ribosomal RNA". The record is from RNAcentral. Lineage: Eukaryota; Fungi; Ascomycota; Dothideomycetes; Mycosphaerellales; Mycosphaerellaceae.
GGCUUUUUGAAAUUGUUGGUCUUCUGUCGGAGAUGCAGCUACAUCCACCU